RNAcentral lists this long non-coding RNA (6939 nucleotides) under Nicotiana benthamiana. RNAcentral's name for it is "long non-coding RNA (NBEN_LNC039535)". Lineage: Eukaryota; Viridiplantae; Streptophyta; Magnoliopsida; Solanales; Solanaceae. The record is from RNAcentral.
CGCCUAUACACAGCCUGAUAUGGGGUGUCACUAGUCAUAAGCAUCUAUAAGUCAUAAUACAAGUCUGUUAAAUCCGUAAUCUUGUAUAACUAUCGAAAACGAGAUAGAAAUGAUAAAGGAGGAGAAAUACGAGACUGCUGAUGCCAGGAAGCUACCUCAUGAACUCCAAAUGUUCACCUGAAGCUGGAAGGAUCAGCACUGGAGAGCGGAACCAGCCACGCCUGAAUCUGCACACAGGGUGCAAUGAGUAAAGUGAGUACUCCAACUCAGUGAGUAACAAAUAUAAAUAACGACUGAAAGUAAGAAAAUACGAAAUGUACAAAACAUUCUAUAGUGAAGCAGUAAAAUCAUUUCAAAGUAGUAAACUAGUGAAAAGAUAAGAAAAAUCCUUUGUCAAUAGAGAAGCAUGUAAUUGACAGGGAACUACGGAAAAAUAAACACAUAGAAGUUCACCCCUUGGACACAGUAUCAACAAAUCCGCCCCUCGGGCUCCAUAUCACAUCAUAAUGGGUACCCUCACUCACAGGGACUCUGCAGACUCCUGGAGGGGCCCCUUACGACCACGGCACAAUAUCAAGCCAUCUCGUGGAGUCAUAACUAGGCUUUCGACCUCUUAUUAAUCAAGCCACCUCAUGGCAUGCAUAUCUCAGGCCCUCGGCCUCAAAUCAAUAUCAGUAUUUCCUCACAACAUAGGCCCUCGGCCUUACUCAGUAAAAAAUUCUCAAAAGCCACUCGAGCAAUAGUAAAAUAGUGUUUCUCAGCCCAGACAUCAUUUAAAAUAUCAUUUAAGUAUUAAAACGAAUAAGCAUGGCUGAGUAUGAAAAUAGUGGAAAAUAACAUGACUGAGUUCAAAUAUACAGUCAAAACAGUGAGGAAAUAUCAAUAAAAAUCCCCGAAGGGUUAGAAAAAAUUGUUGGCACGAAGCCCAAAAUAUGGCGUUUAGCCCAAAUAAUGAUGAUCGCAAAUAGAUUUCAGUCAAAUAAGCGGUAAAAUCAUAAAUCAGGACGGACCAAGUCACAAUCCCCAAUUAUGUAUGACUCCACGCUCGUCAUCAAGCGUGUGUCUCACCUCAAUAUUGCACUACGAUGUGCAAUCCGGGGUUUCAAACCCUCAAAACAUUAUUUAUAAUCAUAUCACCUGGAAUAAGUCAAACAUAUCGCUCACGACGCCUUUGCACCUCGAAUUGGCCUCCACUUGCAAUGAAUCUAACCAAAAUCAAAACAAGGACGUCAAAAUAGGAUAAGGGAACAAAGCCUAAGCAAAAACAAUCGAUAAUUGACACAAAUCCCAAAAUUACCAAAACCCGACCCCUGAGCCCACGAGUUCAUACAUAUCAAAAGCUCAGAAAUCCGACCUCAAAUGAUCCAUCAAACCCUCAAUCCAAAGUCUAAAUUUCCAAGCCCUAGUUCUUCCCUUUGGCUUAAUUUCCAUGAUUAAUUUGGUGGAAUUCACAUGAUAAUCGACUUUUUAGUCCAAGAAUCUUACCUCAAAGUGAUUCCCCUUGGAUCCCUCUUCAAUUUCCUUCAAAAAGCUCCAAAAAUGACCAACAAUAGAAGAAAUAAACCCCACAUUCGUGGACAAAACGACCCUUAAAACAUUCUGCCCAGGCCUCAAUUCCUUCUUCGCGAACGCGGUCAAAGCCAUGCGUUCGCGAAGCACAAAAAUUUUGCUGACAAAAACUCUUCUUCGUGAACCCGACCCUACCAUCAUGAACGUGAUACCUCAGCCUCACAACCCUACGCGAAUGCGACCAAGCCUCUCGUGAGUAUGAUGCUUACUAAGUCGUCCCUUUACGAAUGCGUGACUCCCCUUCACGAACGCAAAGGCCAAAUUUCUUUUAAAUUCCCCUAUCUUUCUGCGAACACGAGGGUCCACCCGCGAACGCGAAGAGUAUAAACCUGCAAAAGUUGAACCUGCAAUUUCUGCAAUUCCAAAUUUCAUGAAAUGGGCUGAUUGACCAACCGAAACUCACCCAAGGCCCCUGGGACCUCAACCAAAGGCAUCAAAAUCUCACCUACCAACCGAGAAUCGCCAAAAUUUUGACUAUACCAAUUUAAGCCUAAAUCUACUUUGAACCUCCAAAACUCAUUCCGAUCCCACUCCUAAGUCUCAAAUAACCUACCAAAUCUAAACAAACCAUCAGAACUCACAUCCGUGCCUUCUAACACAUAAGUCAAUAUCCGUGACUUUUUUAACUUAAGCUUCCUCAAAAGAGACUAAGUGUCUCAAACCUUACCAAAAAUCAUUUGGGAUUUGAUCUGACCAACCCGAUACCACAAAACACGGAUAAACAAGAGUAACGAAGAAGAAAUAGGAGAAACAGAGCGGUAACUCAUGAGACGACUGGCCGGGUCGUCAUAAUUAGUUCUCAGGAAUUCCUUUAAGCAUUUUUGAGCUAAAACGAAGUAAAAGAGGGAAAAUAAGCGGUCAAAAUCCCUACUUAUCAACUCCCCAAAACUUAAGUAUGUGCUUGUCCUCAAGCAAUUAAGGCAAUUCCCACCUCUACUAGAAAAAAGGAUAUUUCAGUUGACCUAAGGUGAACUAAUCACACAUCAAUUGAAACCAACAAUUGCCCACAACAUGUAUGAAUUAUCAAAUUCAAUUAUUUGAAUUUUUCAGUACAAUAGUUCUAAUGUGACACUGGAGCAUCAAAAUUUGACUUUAUUUAUCAAGGAAGCUCGCUCUUUCAUGUGGAUAAUUGUGGAUCCCAAACUCCUCCUCCUUUACUCUUCAUUAGAAAAUCUCACUUUAGAAUGUAACACUCGAAGUAAGGAUUAUGAAAAGUUAUCUCAUCUCUCUCAAAAGAAUGUCACAAGUCCGAUUCUAAAUACCAUAAGCUUGCCCCUUAUGUAAAUCACCACUAAUGCAAGAUCACUCAACUUGAAAUCAUGUAGGACUUUUUGGGGAUGUAAUGAAGGCUUUUUGGAUCAAGGUAGGUCUUAAUAAAAUUUAAUGGGUUCAUCUUUCCUCAAACACUCCAUGUUCUCAUUUUCGCUCAUACUUUGUCGACUCUUUGAGUCAAUUUCUUUUUUCUCGGGGGAACUAGAGAGACGUAAGGUCUCUCUUUCGCAUGACAUUCAUUUUUCUGCUUUUCUAUUUACUCCAUGACUUUCAUCAUUUGUUUCUUUGAAUUCCUUGAAUUUUCUACCUUAUUCGCUUUCUUUUUGGCAUUUUUCUUUUUAUUCUUUCUUUCUUUUGUUUUCCUUCCCUUUCCAUUUCUUUCUCUUCUUUGUACCUUUUAUCACGUUAAAACUCCCAGUCUUUCCUCAAAACUUUUAUUUUUUCCAAUUGUUUAUCAAGAAUGCUAAGGAAAGAUUCGGUGCCAAGAGAGGGUCAUUACAAAAUGGAUGAAGGCGUGUAGCGUAGUUCUUGAAAGAAAAAGGGCUUACUCUCAAAUGGGUUGACUAGGGAUAUCAUAUUGGUAGGCUAUAGAAGAUUUCAAACUUCAAAUUGGAUCAAGGAGAGUCUACAUUCAUUUCUCAAGCCAAGCUACACUUAAAAUAUUUCCUAGAAAAACACUCGGGGCAACUUCUAGACUGUUAGCACAAGUACUUGGACUUGCCAUUCAAUACCUCAUCUCUCACUGUUGAUAAGCAAUUUUUUUUCAUAUUUUUAAUUUGCAUAUAUACUUUCAAAAUACUAUGUUUAUAUCAUCAUUUAGUUAAUAAACCUAUACAAUCAUUUUACAAAAAAUUUCAUGAUUUUUGGAAGCCCUAAAUUAAUUUCUCUGCACUUUUAUUGUAUAAAUAUUUAAUAAUUAGCCUUCAAAAUAUUUUUAUGAUGUUUUAAUCAUCCAAACUUAUUAUUUAUACCAACAUACAUGUUUUUAAAUAUUUGACUUUAUUUUUUCAUAAUUACAUUUAGAUUUUUAGGCUAAUUGUAUAUUUUUACAAUAAUAGCCUAUAUUCAUGUAUAAUUACAUUAUUUAUGCCAGAAUAACUUUUAUGUUUUUAUGAUGUCAAGUUAUUAUAUUGAAUUAAUUUAGUGCACAAAUAAUAUUUUUGUUAUUUAUUAAUUACUUUUAUAUAUUAUUUAUUGAUAAAUUAUUGGAUAUUUACUAACAAGCCCCAAUUCCUAAACAAUUCGGACCGAUAAACUAGCCCAAUAACCCCAUCCCAACCCAAUAACCCCCAUUAACCCAAAACCAGGUCGCAACCCAUUUAAAUUAACCCAACCCAACCCCUUUUUAAUUGUGGCCAUUGAUCUCUGAGAUCAAUGAUUUCCUCCCUUUAACUAACAAAACCCCUAACCUUAACCUCAUUUCCCCUUUUUCCCCUGCCUAUGUAUCCUCUCAUCUCCCUUCCCCCUCCUUCUCUGAAGAACCCUAAAAUUGCCUCCUCCCAAAUUCUUCUCGUAAUCCAACCAAAUAUGGGAUUUGAUCUUAAUUUAUUACCAUACUCGACCCAUUUUUGGUACUGGCUAUUAUACUAAAUUGAUUGCCUAAACAUGACAAGAAAAUCUCUUCAAAAUCUAACCAAAAUUGGUUCAAAUCUCUUAUAUUCGAUAUUAUUCUGUCAAUAUUCGUAUUAUUCUACUAUGAGUCUGAUUUUGUUUAUAUUCUGUUGAUAUUUACUUUCCCUAAAAAACUAGGAUUUAUAGAUAUUUUAAAUUGAUUUUUUAGAUCUAUUUGUAUAUUAUUUUCCUUGUUUGUGGCUUAAAUCACUCUGUUACCGUUUGAUUCUUACUAUUAUGCAAACCCCUCCCCCAUUCUUUUCUAGAAAAGACUUUAAUCGCUAAUUUCCAUUAAAAAUACUAAGUCAUUUACUCUGUGUUUGCUUAUUCUCUUGUUCUAUUUCUGUUCUUGGCUGGCUGAAAGUGAAGGCCACAAAAUUUUCUACUUUCUGGCCUUCUUUGGGAGUAAGGAAUGCCUUUGGUUCAUUGAAACCCUUGGAAACUUGGUGCAUCUGGGAUUCUGGGUCAUAUUGCUAUUCUUUUUCUUAUUUGUUGAUCAAUAACUGGUUUGUUCUCAACCUUUGCAAUGUUUAUUCCAUUAUGUGCUAAUUAGUAUAUCUAUGAUCUCUAAAAUUGCAUAUAAUUCCUUGACUUUCUUCAUGUGUAACUCUGCCUAUAGCAUGAGCUUCUCCAGCAUUGAUUCAUGCCUAAACUGUUGUUCCUAAAAGUGUGUUUGUAUCAAACUUAAGCAAUUUGGACAAUUCGAAGCAUGUAUAGCUUAAUAUCAUUGAUAAUUUGAGUGCUUUGCCUUGAUUAUAUACCCUAAUCCAUAUUCCCUGCUUAAUUCUGAAUUUCUAGUGACUAAUUGAUGUUAUUAGUAUGCUUGUUAAAACCUUCACCCUAAGUCUGUAGUGUUCUCCUAUGAUUAUGUUUUGUCACUCAUUGUGUUCUUGCCUUACCCAGUUUUGUACCCAGCAAUUAAGUAGAGCCUUUCAAACUAGUUUUGCCUAAAUUAUGAUUCUGCUUUCAUCAUUAGUAUAAGUUAUACUGUUUGAUCCCUGAGUUUAGCAUAGUGUGAUCCAUUAGGUUUUAAACUUGUUACAUUGGUGACAAGUGUUCGUCUUACUAGCUUAAUGCUCCUUGCCUAUUAACUUGGUAAUGCUAUAAGCUUCAGGCUCCUUGUUUCUUAUCAAUACGUCGCCUGCCCCAAAGUGUUAAGUGAGAAUUUGCAGUAUCAAUUUGUUUUCAUGAAUUCAUGCACCCCUUGUGUUCGCAUGUUCAUUAUGUAAUCAUUUUGUAGUGUUUGCAAAUGAUUUUCCAAAACCUUAUUACUUUACUACUAUUUUCAUUGGUUGGUUCUUAUUCUGAGUCUCUAAUUCUUGGUCGGCUGAAAGAUAACUUCUCUAGUAACCUCUCUAGUAUAAGCACUGCUCAAGGUCCACUUUGAGACCCUCGUAAACUUUCACACAAUAAGAACUAGGGUUUUAGCCACUUUUCUCCUUGACUAUUCAAUUCUGUCCCUCUCUAUGCCUACAAAAUAAGCCAAUUGGCUAGCGUAAAUGGUUGUUUUCUAGACCAACUAUGGAUACAAGGUUUGGUUCUAGUUCUCUUGUGGUUUCUUGCCUGUGGUGAAACCUAUAUGGAUACGAAAUUGAAGGCAUGUCUAGGCUGGGAAUACAUUGGGCCAGUCUUAGACCUACUAUAGUUAUUUAUAUUACCUUAUAAUUUAUUUUAUUAUUGGGCCUGUAAUAAUUCUGUGGCAGAAAUUGGGGUAUUAGUAAAAAUUGGGAAAGUGGGUCAAAUGAUUGCAUGAAAGGGUAGAAAUCCUGUCUAUAGGAUUUGAGUGUUUAAUUUGUUCAACAUAUUUUGCGUCUAUGUGUUUUGUUGGAUGACAUGUUUAUAGGACAUAAAUAACCUCACAUGUGCACAUGUUCCACUCUCGCGUUAUUUUCUGCCUGCUAUAUUGCAAUACAAUUUGUUCAAAUUGCUCCAUGUUAGAUAUCAUGCCUAUAGGAUUAUAUUGAGUAACAAAUACCUGCUCUUUACGAUAUUCGCAUAAAUAUUAAAAAUUUCGCUACAAGAUCACUGGAUAUAUUAUGUAUUUUGCCAUAUACAGACCUUAAAAAAAUUAUUAUCAUCCGCUAAAAGAUGAGACCAAAAAGAUGACUAAGCUAUUCAUACUAUUAAAGGAUUGAGGUGGAUGUACUGAUUCAACUAAAUUUAUAAUCUUUUACGCAGAGUAAAUAUUUAUAUAUAAAAAUACACUAAAAUUAUAAUAAUUAUAGUUAUGAAUCUAUAACUUUUAAAAUAUAAUGAGUUCAAUAUUAAAUAUAUUAAAAGUUGAACUCAUAAGUUUUAAAUCGUGGAUCCGCCUGUAAGCACAAACUUAAUCUAUACCAGGAUCUUGAACAUGAUAAUCUUACACAAAAUCGUUAUAGAAAACAUACCUGAAUCAUAAGUCAUCAUUGUGAAACGAAAGCGUCAAUUAAAAUUGGUUUCUCGCCCCUUGUUCUAGUUUUCGUUAUCGCCGACUUUAACGAUGGAAAA